GGGCGUAAAGAGCUCGUAGGUCGUUUGACACGUCGGAUGUGAAAAUCUGAGGCUCAACCUCAGACCUGCAGUCGAUACGGGCAAACUAGAGUGUGGUAGGGGAAACUGGAAUUCCUGGUGUAGCGGUGGAAUGCGCAGAUAUCAGGAGGAACACCAAAGGCGAAGGCAGGUCUCUGGGCCAUAACUGACACUGAGGAGCGAAAGCGCGGGGAGCGAACAGGAUUAGAUACCCUGGUAGUCCGCGCCGUAAACGAUGGGCACUAGCUGUGAGAGCCUUCCACGGUUCUCGCGACGCAGCAAACGCAUUAAGUGCCCCGCCUGGGGAGUACGAUCGCAAGAUUAAAACUCAAAGGAAUUGACGGGGCCCCGCACAAGCAGCGGAGCAUGCGGCUUAAUUCGACGCAACGCGAAGAACCUUACCAAGGCUUGACAUAUAGCGAAAAGUGGCAGAGAUGUCAUGUCCGCAAGGGCGCUAUACAGGUGGUGCAUGGUUGUCGUCAGCUCGUGUCGUGAGAUGUUGGGUUAAGUCCCGCAACGAGCGCAACCCUCGUUCUGUGUUACCAGCAUUAAGUUGGGGACUCACAGGAGACUGCCGGGGUCAACUCGGAGGAAGGUAAU
This 618-nucleotide ribosomal RNA is filed under the name uncultured Actinomycetes bacterium. RNAcentral's name for it is "bacterial SSU rRNA". It matches the Rfam family "Bacterial small subunit ribosomal RNA", at positions 556 to 1177 of the family's 1533-position model. The record is from RNAcentral. Lineage: Bacteria; Bacillati; Actinomycetota; Actinomycetes.